RNAcentral lists this unclassified non-coding RNA (425 nucleotides) under soil metagenome. Its description in RNAcentral is "partial contains 5.8S ribosomal RNA, internal transcribed spacer 2, and large subunit ribosomal RNA". The stretch from base 1 to 120 matches the Rfam family "5.8S ribosomal RNA", at positions 35 to 154 of the family's 154-position model. The record is from RNAcentral.
GAUGAAGAACGCAGCGAAAUGCGAUAAGUAGUGUGAAUUGCAGAAUUCCGUGAAUCAUCGAAUCUUUGAACGCACAUUGCGCCUUCUGGUAUUCCGGAAGGCAUGCCUGUUCGAGAGUCAUUAACAACCGUUUCGAUCCCUUUCUUUCAGAAAUUACAAAGAGGAAAAGGGUUUGGUUAUGGUGGAGGAGGGAAAGGGAGCGUUUAGCCUGUAAAAAAAGAGGCUGUGUUCCGCCUCCCCCCCAAAAUUGUACAGGCGGUCGUGUGCGCCCACGCAUCGAGGUGUUGUAAAAGCUGCCACGGCACUUUUCACCUGUGCAGUGCGAGAUUGGCCAGCCGGUUUAAAACCCCCUCCAAACAAUCAAAGGUUGACCUCGGAUCAGGUAGGGAUACCCGCUGAACUUAAGCAUAUCAAUAAGCGGAGGA